This 551-nucleotide ribosomal RNA is filed under the name Parlatoria proteus. RNAcentral describes it as "eukaryotic LSU rRNA". Lineage: Eukaryota; Metazoa; Arthropoda; Insecta; Hemiptera; Diaspididae. The record is from RNAcentral.
AUCUGGGCGGCGGAAUUCAGGAUGGCGGGCGCGUCUUCGCGGCGCGUUCGUCGUUUGAUAUUUCCGUCGCCGACUCAACCCGCAGACGUCGCGACCUGUUCGCGGUCGGUCCUUGCUCGGAGGAGUCGCGUUCGAGUUUGUUGCGUGCGCGUUUCUGCGCGUCACGCGGCAAAGACGCGAAUCUCUGGCUGGCCGUCGGACAGUACGUUCAAACGGUGUCCGGUGUCGUCGUCUCGUACGCGCGCGCACCGGUACCGGUCGGCGACGAAUUCUUCGGGCCUCUUUCCGACCCGUCUUGAAACACGGACCAAGGAGUCUAACAUGCGCGCGAGUCGCGGGGUGUCGAGCGUACCACGGUGCGUUCGUUACGUUGCGAAACCCGUACAUGUCGAAGGCGUAAUGAAAGUGAAUGGGGAAGAUGGUGUUCCGAGUACACGUUCCGCGGUCAUUGGUACCGCGGCCGGACACCCGCAUUCCCGGGGCGUCUCAACGGCCCGUCGCGGAUGCGGACAGUCGUCUUUCGGGGCGGCUGUCGGUCUGCGACGAACCGA